This 396-nucleotide ribosomal RNA is filed under the name uncultured bacterium. RNAcentral describes it as "partial 16S ribosomal RNA". It matches the Rfam family "Bacterial small subunit ribosomal RNA", at positions 523 to 918 of the family's 1533-position model. The record is from RNAcentral.
AUACGUAGGUGGCGAGCGUUAUCCGGAAUUACUGGGUGUAAAGGGCGCGUAGGCGGGCGUGCAAGUCAGAUGUGAAAUACAUGGGCUCAACCCAUGGGCUGCAUUUGAAACUGCAUUUCUUGAGUGAAGUAGAGGUAAGCGGAAUUCCUGGUGUAGCGGUGAAAUGCGUAGAUAUCAGGAGGAACACCGGUGGCGAAGGCGGCUUACUGGGCUUAUACUGACUCUGAGGCACGAAUGCGUGGGUAGCAAACAGGAUUAUAUAACCUGGUAGUCCACGCUGUAAACGAUGAUUACUAGGUGUGUGGGGACUGACCCCUUCCGUGCCGCAGUUAACACAAUAAGUAAUCCACCUGGGGAGUACGGCCGCAAGGUUGAAACUCAAAGGAAUUGACGGGG